UUGCACUGUUCGUAACCUGUUGACAGCCUCUUCUGCUAAUGGGUUCCAUUCCAGUGCUAAAUUAACGCCCAGGAUGAGAAAAAUAUGACAUUAUUAUAUGUUUGUUACCUCUAUCUUGGGAGACACUG
RNAcentral lists this small nucleolar RNA (128 nucleotides) under Salvator merianae (Argentine black and white tegu). The record is from RNAcentral. Lineage: Eukaryota; Metazoa; Chordata; Lepidosauria; Squamata; Teiidae.